This 1605-nucleotide long non-coding RNA is filed under the name Equus caballus (horse). RNAcentral describes it as "lncRNA (ENSECAG00000032924.3)". The record is from RNAcentral. Lineage: Eukaryota; Metazoa; Chordata; Mammalia; Perissodactyla; Equidae.
UGUACAGCAAACUACCCAGAACUCUGGUAUUUCUAAUUAUUAAACCAUCACAAGGACAACUUUGGUACAGAACGUCAAAUGAUGCCCUGUGGGUGAGCGCAGAGGAAAACACACAAUGGUUUUAUUUCCCUCUGGCUGCUAUCUUCUAUAUGAUGUUUACAUCUUGGAUUUGUUUCCUUGGGCCAUGUAACAAAAUACCAUAAAACAGCAGAAGUUCGUUCUCUCCCAGUUCAGGAGGCCAGAGGUCUGGAAUCAAGGUGUCACAGGGCCAUGCUCCCUGGGAAAGAGCCCUCCCACCUCUUCGAGCUUCUGGUGGCACCAGGCUUUCCUUGGCUUGUGGACGUAUCACUCCAGUGUGCCUGCGUCUUCACAUGGCUUCUCCUCUGUGUCCUAAUCUUGUAAGGACACUUGUGCUGUUGGAUUAGGGUCCCUAUGACCUCAUCUUUAACUUGAUCACAUCUGCCAAGUCUCUAUUUUCAAAUAAGGUCCCAUUCACAGCACUUCAACAUAUAUAUCUUCUAGGGGGCACAAUUCACCCGUAACAUGUCCCCAAGCUCUCAAUAAAUUUGUUCCUUACCCUCAGCCUCUCCCACCAACCCAGGGAGUUAGAUUAUAUGAGAAAAUCAAAGGGCCUCUUGGACCCUGCAGUACUGCAGGCUCUUAAAUGGGACUGGUCCUACAGGUGUAGCACAAACACAAGAGGAACAGCAUGGGGAGAAUUGUAGUGGCAUUCGGAGGAAAGGACCACGUCCACAGACUCCUUUCCUGACCAUCACAGAGUUAUCAACAACUACAGCCUCAUCGUAUCUUGCCAGCCCCUCAGAACCAGAGAAUCCUAUUUGUCUCAACCACAAAUAUUUUCCAGUUCAACCUACAUUCCGUACAAGACCAAACGCCAAACUGACGUGGCUGAAUGAAAAUGAAAUGUCUGCAGCAUCAUCUGUGCUCGUGGACCCACAGCUGACUCUUCCCUGAGCCUUUUCUGAGCAACAUCUGCAUGAUAACCCUUACACAGUGAAGCAUCAAGUCCGUUGUACAAACCAAGAGUCUGGCUUUGUAAAAGCAGAAAGCAAACUAAGAAAAAGAUUGAAAAGUGUUAAGUUAAUUAAAGAAGAACCUCAGCCUGUAAGUGCCUCAAGGUUAGGGAAUCGAAACCUAAGGACAACCCAUCCCAAAGAGCCAAGAAGCUUUGAGCUCCAGCCAACCAGUAAUUUCCUGCCUUUGUUUUCUCUUCUUCUCUAUAAAAGUCUCUCUUUUACAGAUCAACUCUUGGUAAAGGGCCCCCCCCACCACCACUUCCAGUUUGACGCUGCCCGAUUCUAAUCAAUUUUUGUUCCAAUGAACUCUUAAAAUUUUUAAUAGGCCUCAGUUUGUCUUUGAACAAAAGUAGUUACAAACAAACCUGUCAAUGUGUUCUACAAUGGUUUUAAUUUGUCUUCAUUAAAAUGACUGAUUUUGUUGAAGCUAUUAAUUUUUGUCAUCUGGACGUGGCCUAUUGGAUAAACUUGGGAGACCAAAUAAACGUGAAACUUUGUGAUGUUCAACAAACAGUGUGGGAGAAACAUAGAAUUGGUUUAAGGUAUGUGCUGUGAAAAGUAAGUCUAU